This 393-nucleotide ribosomal RNA is filed under the name uncultured bacterium. RNAcentral's name for it is "bacterial SSU rRNA". It matches the Rfam family "Bacterial small subunit ribosomal RNA", at positions 28 to 416 of the family's 1533-position model. The record is from RNAcentral.
GAUGAACGCUAGCGGCAGGCUUAAUACAUGCAAGUCGAGGGGCAGCGGGGAUAGCAAUAUCUGCCGGCGACCGGCAAACGGGUGCGGAACACGUACGCAACCUUCCCAGAACAGGUGAAUAGCCCUCCGAAAGGAGGAUUAAUACACCGUAAUAUAUAGAGGUGGCAUCAUUUUAUAUUAAAGGUCGCAAGAUCGGUUUUGGAUGGGCGUGCGCCUGAUUAGGUAGUUGGGUGGGUAACGGCCCACCAAGCCUUCGAUCAGUAACUGGUGUGAGAGCACGACCAGUCACACGGGCACUGAGACACGGGCCCGACUCCUACGGGAGCAGCAGUGAGGAAUAUUGGUCAAUGGACGAAAGUCUGAACCAGCCAUGCCGCGUGAAGGAUGAAGGCG